GACUUUAAGAGAGAGGACACUUGGCUUCCAUGUACGAGACACACAAGUCCCAGAUUGAAUCACUCUAUCAGAAGACGCCCUCAGAUUCAGAUCCAUCAGCAACCACUGACAACAUGGAGGACUCGUCCCCUGAGCGUUUCCUGUCCUCUCUCGAUGGAGUUCUUCUCUUCAGUUAUUAACUCUUGAAAACAGCAGCACAACAUGCCAGACUGUUUGACAAGUCUGUGAUUGAAUAAAUGGAAAUGGAAUCUCA
Long non-coding RNA from Labrus mixtus (cuckoo wrasse), 253 nucleotides. RefSeq lists it as uncharacterized. The transcript has 2 exons. NCBI's taxonomy places the organism in Eukaryota, Metazoa, Chordata, Actinopteri, Labriformes, Labridae. The record is from RefSeq and is a predicted model, not a curated record.